GAUGAACGCUGGCGGCGUGCCUAAUACAUGCAAGUCGAGCGAACGGACGAGAAGCUUGCUUCUCUGAUGUUAGCGGCGGACGGGUGAGUAACACGUGGAUAACCUACCUAUAAGACUGGGAUAACUUCGGGAAACCGUAGCUAAUACCGGAUAAUAUUUUGAACCGCAUGGUUCAAAAGUGAAAGACGGUCUUGCUGUCACUUAUGGAUGGAUCCGCGCUGCAUUAGCUAGUUGGUAAGGUAACGGCUUACCAAGGCAACGAUGCAUAGCCGACCUGAGAGGGUGAUCGGCCACACUGGAACUGAGACACGGUCCAGACUCCUACGGGAGGCAGCAGUAGGGAAUCUUCCGCAAUGGGCGAAAGCCUGACGGAGCAACGCCGCGCGAGUGAUGAAGGUCUUCGGAUCGUAAAACUCUGUUAUUAGGGAAGAACAUAUGUGUAAGUAACUGUGCACAUCUUGACGGUAGCUAAUCAGAAAGCCACGGCUAACUACGUG
Molecule: ribosomal RNA, 497 nt
Filed under: uncultured bacterium
Lineage: Bacteria
Description: partial 16S ribosomal RNA
Rfam family: Bacterial small subunit ribosomal RNA
Source: RNAcentral